UACAGAGGUGGCAAGCGUUGUUCGGAAUUACUGGGCGUAAAGGGCGCGUAGGCGGCCCACUAAGUCAGACGUGAAAUCCCCCGGCUUAACCUGGGAACUGCGUCUGAUACUGGAGGGCUUGAGUAUGGGAGAGGGAUGUAGAAUUCCAGGUGUAGCGGUGAAAUGCGUAGAUAUCUGGAGGAACACCGGUGGCGAAGGCGGCAUCCUGGACCAACACUGACGCUGAGUGAGCGAAAGCCAGGGGAGCAAACGGG
This 254-nucleotide ribosomal RNA is filed under the name uncultured bacterium. Its description in RNAcentral is "partial 16S ribosomal RNA". It matches the Rfam family "Bacterial small subunit ribosomal RNA", at positions 524 to 776 of the family's 1533-position model. The record is from RNAcentral.